UUUAAUGUGUCUAUAUAAAUCUGAAAUUAGUUUAACUAUUCUCUAAGUUGUGGAAUAACCUUAGAAUACUUUGUACUUGUAAUCACUUUUCAUAUGCUAUUGUUGCUCAGUAUUUUCAUUAUAUUUCUUUUUUUUCCCCCUUAAUCCAACAAAUUAGACAUUUUUCCCCCUAUUUUCUUGUCUCAUCAUUGCUCUGUUUUCACAGACCCUGGUACUAACUUUUUCCCUUUGAAGUGUAUAUUUUACAAGUUCUUUCAGAGAGGAUCAGUUGUUAUUAAGUUCUCUCAAUUUUGAUUUGCCUGUAAAUGUCUUCUAAGAUAGUUUAAGAUUGAUAGUUAUUUUCCCUUAGCACUUUAAAAAAUUUUCCAGUCUUCUGGUUUCCAUUGCUACUCUUAAGUUAGCUAUCUGUUGAAUUAUCUUUUCUUUUUGGGUGAUGUAUGCUCUUCAUGGAGAUGAUUUUUAAGAUCUUGGUUUUCAGUUGGCAGUUUUACGACAUUGUGGGUCUGGAUUAGGAUUUGUUGGGCUUUCCCAAUCACAGCAUCAAGUUUUUAUAAAGUAAAUUCUGGACAAUUCUCAGCCACGUGUCUUUUGAGUAUUACCCUUUCUUUAUCCCUUUAUAUGGCAGUCCUUCCCCCAAGUUUACCUAGUCAGUCAGGUGUCAUCUUUUAAGAUCCUUGUUUUGUGUAAGGGCUUCCAAUUCACUUCUCCAUUUUUGGUAUUCUUCUAUUUGUUUAGAUCAAAAAUGUCCUAUUGUGUUCAUACUUUAAUAUUACAUUUAUUCUUUUAGGGACUUAAAUUUUUAUAUACUGUUUUCUAUUAAUAUAAUGUGAACUCGGAUAUUGACAGAAUCCCUUUCUUUUCAUUAAGCUAAUUAUUAUGGGGGGAUAUAUUCCAGAUUUGUUUUGUCUCUACCUUCCUCUCUUCUACUCUUUCUUUGUUCAAAUUACUGUAACUUGGCAUGUGGCAUCCUCCUCAUUCCCCGUGCCUCAGAUAGUCUUACUUUUUUUAAAAAUAUUUUUUAGUUGUUGAUGGACCUUAUUUAUUUAUUUUUUUUUAAUUUGUGUAUGGUACUGAGAAUUGAACUCAGUGCCUCAUGCAUGCUAGGCAAGCGUGCUACCACUGAACCAUAACCCCAGCCUCUGGUAGUCUUUACUUUUUGAUAAAACAGUUUCCCAGAUUCAUUCUGAUUUUUCUUAUUCCAAAGAAAUGGGACAGGGCUGUCUUUAAGAAGUCCUGGUUCCUUUUAGUGAAGAAUGACAAUAGAGAUGAAAAGAUGGUGUGUGGAUAGGCAUUGAAUGAGGGUGAGAUGUGCUGUUGAUUUCAGGUAGACCAUUCUUUAGGGAUUGAAUGAGAAAAGAAUAAUUUUCCUCAUUUUGAUCUUUACAAUUUAAUAUGACAUGCUUCUGUACUCUAAUUUUAAAAAAUUAAAUAGAGCAUAUGGUUUUCUCAGACCCCAAGACUUAGUAAUUGCUACUUUGACUUAGCAAGAAUGUUUUAAAACCAUAUCAAGAUUUAGUGGAAUAAAACAAUCCCCAUCCAAAUGUUGUUAGUAUUGUUGUUUAUAAGGUCAUCAAAUUAUACUUCAUAAAGUGAAUUUUCAAUUAUUUUAAGAGAUGUAGUAGAAAAAAUCCUGGAUUUAAAGAAAGAAGACUUUAAUUCUAGUCUUAGCUUAAUCAUAUUGCUAAAUGAAAAUGAUAAGUAACUUAAAAUUUUAAAAAAUUGCUAGUCUGUGGAUAAUAGAUGUGAAAACACUAAAAUACCAUGUACACGUAAAUAAAUAUUUAUGUUGAAGAUAAAACCAGGUAAUAUUUGCUUUAUUCAAUAUUUUGCUUUCAUGGUAUUUUAAUUUUUUUAAUGCUAAGAUUUUAAGUACUUAUACAAAUUUGGACAAGAUGCUCAUUUUCAGUAUGCCAUUUAUAAAGUGAUAUUAUUAAAAAAUUCUUAUGGCAUUUUGUUGUUC
This 1960-nucleotide long non-coding RNA is filed under the name Marmota monax (woodchuck). The record is from RNAcentral. Lineage: Eukaryota; Metazoa; Chordata; Mammalia; Rodentia; Sciuridae.